This is a long non-coding RNA of Gallus gallus (chicken), 674 nucleotides long. The record is from Ensembl. NCBI's taxonomy places the organism in Eukaryota, Metazoa, Chordata, Aves, Galliformes, Phasianidae.
GGGAACAACAACAAAAAUGCCCUGCCUGGUGUUUUGGGAAAGCUGGUAAAAUAGUCUGAGAUGAUUUUUUUUCAAAGCAGGGUAAUGAUGACGAUGCAUAAUGCUACGGCUAGUAUUUAUGCUAUGGAGCACUCUUCAUCUCCAGGGCAGAUAAAAGGCCUUAGUAGAUUGAUCUUCAGAGCACCCCCUGUGAGCGAGUGUCAUGCAGCCGAGAUCUCUCGCUUUAGCACACCUGCACACAUAUUGACUGCAGAAAGAAUUAGGCCAUGCUCUCCCACCAGUUGCUGUGGCAAAACCCAGGCAUGGAUUUACCAGAGAGACCACAUGGAGUCUGUCCUUCCUCCUGGCAUCCCUGCAGUUCUAUGAGAGCACAUCUACCCAUGGCGGAGUGCACCAAGAGGUCCCCUUGGCACGUAACCCCUCUUCUUACCCUCAUUCUCCUCUCUCUUUUGCCCCAUCUCCUGCUCACACCCUUCUGGGAUGAAACAAGAAGCACUGACAAUAUUGAGAAUGUCAGCCUCCAUGCAUGUGGGAACUGUUAGCUCACAGACUGCAAGCCCUGAAGACACCACUGCCAUCAUCUAGUUUGCCCUGCUGCCUAGCACAAGGUGUAAGACUUUCAGCCAAUAAUUUCUCUGAUAAGCUCAACAGCCUGCAUUGAGCUGAGGUUCCAG